RNAcentral lists this ribosomal RNA (739 nucleotides) under uncultured Agaricales. Its description in RNAcentral is "eukaryotic LSU rRNA". The stretch from base 246 to 399 matches the Rfam family "5.8S ribosomal RNA". Lineage: Eukaryota; Fungi; Basidiomycota; Agaricomycetes; Agaricales. The record is from RNAcentral.
GGUUCGUAGGUGACCUGCGGAGGAUCAUUAUUGAAUGUUUGAAGUUUGCUGAGCUGGUCUUUAACCAGACAUGUGCUCGCUGCUUCUAUUCAUCUCUAUCCACCUGUGCACUUAUUGUAGAGCUUUGAAGAGGGCCUUAGUUCAUUCUAAGGCUAGUAUUCGAGUUCUAUGUUUUCUACAAACUCUAUGAAUGUCUUGAAUGUCUUUUUACUGGGACUUGACUGGCCCUUUAAAACUUUUAAUACAACUUUCAGCAACGGAUCUCUUGGCUCUCGCAUCGAUGAAGAACGCAGCGAAAUGCGAUAAGUAAUGUGAAUUGCAGAAUUCAGUGAAUCAUCGAAUCUUUGAACGCACCUUGCGCCCUUUGGUAUUCCGAGGGGCAUGCCUGUUUGAGUGUCAUUAAAUUCUCAACUUCAAAAGCUUUUGUCUUUCUGAAGCUUGGACGUGAAGGCUUGCUGGCGUUUCAAAUGCUCAGCUCCUUUAAAAUGCAUUAGUGGACUCCACUUGUGUUCAGCCUUAGUGUGAUAGUUAUCUACGCUAUGGUUUUGGAUGCUCGCUCAUUAGAACUUCGGGGUGUACUUGUUACAUUCUCGGUUUGGAGAGCUGCAUGGCUAUGUACAUGCUCUUUCUGUCUAAUCGAGUUAGGAUUGUCUGCUUCUAACUGUCUGCCUAUGUAGACAAUUUUGAACCAUUUGACCUCAAAUCAGGUAGGACUACCCGCUGAACUUAAGCAUAUCAA